AAAAGCUAUUGCAUUGUUAUUAUAAUUGUAAAAUAACACACAAAAUUUGGGAGCAAAACUUUACUAAUUUACAGUACAAUUUUAUCAAAAGUGUAUUUAAAAAAGAAAAUCCAUGUCUCUGAAAUACCUUCCACAAGGGUCGGUCAAAUUAUGUGAAAGAAAUCUAACACAUAGGCAUGCUAUGUUUGUUGGCAUGUUUGCAAUCUUAAAUGCUUGUACUUUUGUUCUUGGUUGAAAUGUCUUGCACACUCUGUCAAGCCUUUUGAUAAAAUGUAUUUUAAUGCAGCAACUCCCUCUGGUAUAGCAGUAUCAAUCUUGUUCAAAAGAAAAUCAUACAACAUAAUGAGAAUUUGGGAGUGAAAUAAUAUUGCUAUGACUGCUAAACAAAUAUCAUAAUCAAGCAUCAAAAAACAUUGCAAUCAAGGAUAAGAAAUUGUUGAAGCUUCCAUCUUGACUACGCCAAAUCCAUUAAACUUAUUUUCAAACACAAACUUACUCGCUCUCGAGCUGUUGCGUUGAACUUCUGCAAUAAGAAAGCUUUGGGAUCCAUUUGACCAGGAGGCCUCCCAAUUCCAAUUCUCAGCCGAGCAAAUUCUCUAGUUCCUCGAAAAUGAUAGAUGACACUUUUCAAACUGGAAAAAAGAAAUAAAAUAAAACAAAAUAAAGUGUAAGGAUUAAGCACAAAUGUUUAACAAAAGGAUAAAGAGUUUAUUAAUAAAAAAAGGGCAAACAUUGCACAUAGUUCUAAGACAAAAGGCUCAUUGGUUGUGUAACCUAGUAGGUUCAUAUCUACAACAAAUUUGAAGUUGCCUACAAAAUUGAUUUAAUGUUCACUCCUUGACAUAGAACUACUCCUAACAGUGUAAGACAUAGAUGUUUCGAAAAUGAAAAAAAAUCUAUCUUGAAUCAUACACCAGGGAUGGCAUUAUCAAACAUUCCAAGCAUCCACUUACUCCAUAUGCCUCCAACCAUUCUGUCAUGACCACAAUUUGACCAAUGUAGGUAAGAAUAUAUUAUUUGUAAAACAAUUUGCAUAUUCCCCUCUUAGGAUUGAGUAUGGAAGGAUCCUCUAUAUAUCCAUACCCGUUGUGGCUUCCAUGUCCUCCUUUGUGUUGAAGUCGAAGUACUCCACAUGGCAAGUCCAUAUCAUCAUGAAUCUAAAAUUGCAGAAUAUAAGAUACGCAAAAUCAAAUCAGUUACCAAAACUUUUCAAGGAAAUAUGCUUGGAGCAAUUAGAUUACCACUAUGACACGAUUAAGAGGUAGCUUAAAGUAAGCUGCAAGUGGCCCAGUCUGCAUUUAAAAGAAAGAUAUAAGCGAUUGCGUUUAUUAUAUUUUAUACAUUGAGAUCCCGCUGAUAACUUGGCAACCGAGCAAUAUCUUUCAAACAUUAAUUAAAAUUUCUCUAAUCUACCUCAAAUUGUCAAUGACCAGAUACUAAAGAGUGAUAUCUGAAAAUCUCCAAAGAUUGCAUCAAAAUAAAAUUGAAUUUUUUCUUUCCGAAAUUUUUGUGCAAGUAUCAUAUUUUUCGAAUACCCGUGGAAUAUUUGGCGAAUAUUUAAAAUUUGGAAGUAUAUGCCAAAACUUGAGAUGCUAUUUUUUAUCAUUAUUUCACUAUAGAUAGUUGUUGACGUCAUUAUGAGUUACUAUAGUAGUUGCCGACUUUCACUGUAGCAGUGCCAACCCACCUAAUUUUGACCUCAAAAUUUAGCAUUUUUAGCUAAAAUUGGAUACAACAAUAGCCAAAAUUGACUUUCUAACAUUCCCUCGCCAUUUUGAACCAAUAAAUACUCAUUUUUACCAACAUAAACUAAGAAGUUUUUAAACAGAGAGAAACUUUGGCUCAUUAGUUUGACAAGACGGCUAAUCCUCUCCAAGAGUAUCAUAUACCAUUGUGAUGCUCACUUCGCUAGCUUAUAUUUGCAAUCAACCAAACUAAUUUUGGUGGCCCCAAGGAGGAGAUCAAAAGCACAUCACCACCCAUUGUUGGAUAGUGAAACGAAAUGUGUUAUUGCAAUCAGAACAUCGAAUUACCUCAAAAGGAUCAAACUUGAUUUUUCUCUCAUUAGGUACUAUGUACUAUUUAGGCACAAGCACAACAACUAGUAGUUAUUAUACACUUAUGGUGAUUAUUGUAGUUGCCACCACAAAACGGUGGAAUUAGGAGGCAAAAUUAGUAUUGAUCUACUCGUCUAAUUGUGGGAAGUCUAUGGGUGGUACUCUCUCUAACUCACAAUGAUUCAUCGUAGAUUUAUAAGAGAGUGGUGGUCAUGUGUUUUUAAUCUCCCUCCAACCACCAAAAUUAGUUUAGUUGCGAAUGAGAAUCAUAUUGGUAUAUGUUACUCUCGAGGAGGAUUAGCAAUUUGAUUGGAAUAACAAGUAAAAUUCUCUUAGUUUGGGGUGGUUUUUUAUUGUGAAAAUGAAUAUUUAUAGGCUUAAAAUGGCAGUAAAAAUGUCAGAAAGUCAAUUUAGGCAGUGGGACUACCAAUUUUUAAUUGAAAAUACUGAAUUUUACUGUCAAAAUUAAGUGGGUCAAUGUUGCCAUUGUGAAAGUUGGCAGCUGCUACUAUAACUCAUACUGACACUGGCAGUGACGUCAUCAGCCAUCUAUAGUGACCUACAAUGAUCUACAAUAACAUGUCCUAAUUCAACAUAUAUCUCUAAACUUUAAAAAUCUAUUAAAAAUUCCACGGACUCAAAAAUAUAUUAAACAUUUCAAAAAAUUUCCUAAUUUUAUUUCGAUGCAAACUUUGAAAAUUUUCAAAUAUCACAAUUGCAUGAGCGCGUUUCAACAAAUAAUAAACAACAUAAACACAAAAUGAAAUAGUAUCCAUAUUGCAUGAGAGUGUGUUGUUCUCUUUUGCAAAUAAUAAACAACAUGAACACAAGAUGAAAUAAUAUCCACGUCACAACAUGGUAAUAGGCAUCUUGCACUUGUGAGUGUAAUCAACUGACAAGAAGAAUAAAGAAACCAUGCAUUCUUUUCUAUCAAAUAUGACACAACAAAUCAAAGCUGCCUUCAUCAUCAUCAUUUUUCAAUGAUAAUAUACUAACAUAAGUUACAUUUAUGAGCAAAACAUUAAUGCUUUUGCGUACAUUAAUCAAUUUGACUUGUAUUUUUUUUUUAUCAUACCACUGAUAAUGAACUAAUGAUAUUUAUUUCAUAUUUUUCCAAUAAUUUUUUUAUAUAUAUUAAAACUCAUAUCCCUGCAGUUUAAUCUUAACUAUAUGAAUUACAUUUUAAACUACGGUUACAACAAUCCAAACGACUUACAGAUUCACCACUCAGAUUCAUGUAAGUUUGAGGCUUUGCAAGAAGAAGCGGUGCUUCAUCAAUAAAACCUUCUCCAAAAAUAGCUUUGCAAUGAACUGUAUUCAUCAAAAUCCCUUGUGAUUCAGCAAAUGCAUCAAUCAUCUCAAACCCCACAUUGUGUCGAGUUCCUUUGUAUUUCUCGCCGGGAUUUCCCAAGCCAACAAAAAGCCAUGGCCGUGCAACAGCAGUGCAGAAGCAACACCUAGAAACUUUGUUGAGCAUCUUGUCUCAUGUUCUCUAACUCCUUCCCCUUUAGUGCAACAGAAAAAGCCAAGAAAAUUGCUUUUACCCUUUCAAAUAAAUUUCAACCAAUCAAAAUCCUCAUCACAAUGUUAUUUUCAAUAACAAGACACUUCUCAAUAACAAUUUCAACAACUAACAGAACAAUCCAUCAAGUUAACAAGCAGAUAAAAGAUGGCACUAAGCUUCCCAUACCAACAAAACAUUCAUUACUAAAUAACAUAUAUCAAACCCAUCUCAAAAAUUAAAACAAGCAAAUUUUCAUAGCCCCCUAAACCACUGCUACAGGCAUACACAGCCUCAC
RNAcentral lists this unclassified non-coding RNA (3856 nucleotides) under Hevea brasiliensis (rubber tree). The record is from RNAcentral. Lineage: Eukaryota; Viridiplantae; Streptophyta; Magnoliopsida; Malpighiales; Euphorbiaceae.